CAAUAGCGUAUAUUAAAGUUGUUGCAGUUAAAAAGCUCGUAGUUGGAUUUCGGGGCGGCCUGGCUGGUCCGCCGCAAGGCGAGUACUGGUCAGCCGCCCUUCCUCUCGAAAGCCCCGACUGCUCUUCGUUGCAGUGGUCGGGUAGUUCGGGACGUUUACUUUGAAAAAAUUAGAGUGUUCAAGGCAGGCCUACGCCUGAAUACAUUAGCAUGGAAUAAUGGAAGAGGACCUCGGUCCUAUUUUGUUGGUUUCCAGGGCCGAAGUAAUGAUUAAGAGGGACAGUUGGGGGCAUUCGUAUUUAAUUGUCAGAGGUGAAAUUCUCGGAUUUAUGAAAGACGAACAACUGCGAAAGCAUUUGCCAAGGAUGUUUUCAUUAA
RNAcentral lists this ribosomal RNA (377 nucleotides) under uncultured eukaryote. Its description in RNAcentral is "partial 18S ribosomal RNA". It matches the Rfam family "Eukaryotic small subunit ribosomal RNA", at positions 592 to 976 of the family's 1831-position model. The record is from RNAcentral.